RNAcentral lists this transfer RNA (84 nucleotides) under Candidatus Delongbacteria bacterium GWF2_40_14. RNAcentral describes it as "tRNA-Ser". It matches the Rfam family "tRNA". Rfam says of the family: Transfer RNA (tRNA) molecules are approximately 80 nucleotides in length. Lineage: Bacteria; Candidatus Delongiibacteriota. The record is from RNAcentral. RNAcentral also lists the same sequence under 2 other names.
GGAGAUGUGGUCGAGUGGCUGAUGGCGCACGCUUGGAAAGCGUGUUCCCGAAAGGGAUCGUGGGUUCGAAUCCCACCGUCUCCG